UCCCCCUGGCUGGUCAGCCCUGAUUUGCCCCGAUAGGCCCCAAUUGUCAGCCAGACAGAGGGACCCCACCCGUGCACGAAUUUGUGCACUGGGCCUCUAGUGUAUAAUAAUCUUUCAUUGAG
This is a long non-coding RNA of Myotis brandtii (Brandt's bat), 122 nucleotides long. RefSeq lists it as uncharacterized. The record is from RefSeq and is a predicted model, not a curated record. Lineage: Eukaryota; Metazoa; Chordata; Mammalia; Chiroptera; Vespertilionidae. The transcript is spliced from 3 exons.